GACGAACGCUGGCGGCGUGCUUAACACAUGCAAGUCGAACGGAAAGGCCCUGCUUUUGUGGGGUGCUCGAGUGGCGAACGGGUGAGUAACACGUGAGUAACCUGCCCUUGACUUUGGGAUAUCUUCAGGAAACUGGGGCUAUUACAGGAUAGGAGCUCCUGCUCCGUGGUGGGGGUUGGAAAGUUUCGGCGGUUGGGGAUGGACUGGCGGCUUAUCAGCUUGUUGGUGGGGUAGUGGCUGACCAAGGCUUUGACGGGUAGCCGGCCUGAGAGGGUGACCGGCCACAUUGGGACUGAGAUACGGCCCAGACGCCUACGGGAGGCAGCAGUGGGGAAUAUUGCACAAUGGGCGGAAGCCUGAUGCAGCAACGCCGCGUGCGGGAUGACGGCCUUCGGGUUGUAAACCGCUGUCGCCUGAGACGAAGCGGGAGUGACGGUAAUGGGUAAAGAAGCACCAGCUAACUACGUG
Molecule: ribosomal RNA, 468 nt
Filed under: uncultured bacterium
Lineage: Bacteria
Description: partial 16S ribosomal RNA
Rfam family: Bacterial small subunit ribosomal RNA
Source: RNAcentral